UGACUCGUGGUGUAAUGGUAACACAACUGGUUUUGGUCCAGUUUUUCAAGGUUCGAGUCCUUGCGAGUCAA
This 71-nucleotide transfer RNA is filed under the name Bacteroidales bacterium. Its description in RNAcentral is "tRNA-Gln". It matches the Rfam family "tRNA". Rfam says of the family: Transfer RNA (tRNA) molecules are approximately 80 nucleotides in length. The record is from RNAcentral. Lineage: Bacteria; Pseudomonadati; Bacteroidota; Bacteroidia; Bacteroidales.